This 468-nucleotide ribosomal RNA is filed under the name uncultured bacterium. Its description in RNAcentral is "partial 16S ribosomal RNA". It matches the Rfam family "Bacterial small subunit ribosomal RNA", at positions 28 to 507 of the family's 1533-position model. The record is from RNAcentral.
GACGAACGCUGGCGGCGUGCUUAACACAUGCAAGUCGAACGGAAAGGCCCUGCUUUUGUGGGGUGCUCGAGUGGCGAACGGGUGGGUAACACGCGAGUAACCUGCCCUUGACUUUGGGAUAACUUCAGGAAACUGGGGCUAAUACCGGAUAGGAGCUCCUGCUGCAUGGUGGGGGUUGGAAAGUUUCGGCGGUUGGGGAUGGACUCGCGGCUUACCAGCUUGUUGGUGGGGUAGUGGCUUACCAAGGCUUUGACGGGUAGCCGGCCUGAGAGGGUGACCGGCCACAUUGGGACUGAGAUACGGACCAGACUCCUACGGGAGGCAGCAGUGGGGAAUAUUGCACAGUGGGCGGAAGCCUGAUGCAGCAACGCCGCGUGCGGGAUGACGGCCUUCGGGUUGUAAACCGCUUUCGCCUGUGACGAAGCGUGAGUGACGGUAAUGGGUAAAGAAGCACCGGCUAACUACGUG